This is a long non-coding RNA of Calypte anna (Anna's hummingbird), 793 nucleotides long. RefSeq lists it as uncharacterized. The transcript has 4 exons. The record is from RefSeq and is a predicted model, not a curated record. NCBI's taxonomy places the organism in Eukaryota, Metazoa, Chordata, Aves, Apodiformes, Trochilidae.
CGCCCCGCCCCGCCGGCCGCGGGUCUGCAGCAAAAUCCAGCCAAUGGGCUUGGCGGGACCGCGCGCGCCGCUUCCCGACCGCGCAGCCCCCGCCUCUCCCCUCUCUCCUCCCUCCCUCCCUCCCGCCGCCGUCGCCAUUUCGCGGCGUCCCGACAAAGGGCCUGGCCGGGGGGGCCUGCGGGCCCCUAGGGCGACGCUCCGAUUUCCUUAAGGAAUCAAUUUUAUCCUUCUUGAGAGCUCCCUGCUUCUGAAGAGUGACAACCCAACUGAAGAACCAAAAUGGCUGACUAGGCAGCAUUAGUUGGAAGAGCCUUCAGGCAUCUCCUGUGAUGUAAGAAGACAAUGAGGGGACACUGGAGUGAAGAAGUAGUUGUCUCACAAACUAUUUGAGGAGGCAAGAGAGGAAGUUCCAUGUCAAGAAAAAGCUGUGGCCUCUGAAAGAAGAGGCACAGAUUUGUUUUCAAUUUUGAAAUCCCUCCCCACAUACCAAGAGCAAUAUUGUUCAUGUACAGAGAGUUGAAAUAAUCAAAUAAAGAGGUGGUAGAUAUGAAUGCUAUCUGCAGAUGUUUACAGUUUGCCUAUAUCAGCCGUGUUAGUAUGGUGAUGUUGUAUCUGUACCAUGUAGUCAUGUGCCAAGUUUUCUAGGGGAGAAUGUACAAAGAAAUGCUGUAAUAAUCACGGGCUCCAUGGGAAACAGAAGUAGUUUCUCAAGCAGGAUGGGCUGUUAAUCUCUCAGCAGUGACGUCUGCAGAACGAAAAUGACAUUUUUUUAACAAUGCAGACUGAAGCCCCG